UGGUUAAAAAGCUCGUAGUUGGAUCUCAACAGCCUUGAAGCGGUUAACUUUGUAGUUUUACUGCUUUAUAGGCUGUGCUUUUGCUGGAGGUUUAGGGGUGCUCUUGAUCGAGUGUCUCUGGAUGCCAGCAGGUUUACUUUGAAAAAAUUAGAGUGCUCAAAGCAGGCUAAAAUGCCUGAAUAUUCGUGCAUGGAAUAAUAGAAUAGGAUGUCGAUCCUAUUUUGUUGGUUUUCGGGACUCGACAUAAUGAUAAAUAGGGACAGUCGGGGGCAUUUGUAUUCAAACGACAGAGGUGAAAUUCUUGGACCGUUUGAAGACAAACUACUGCGAAAGCAUUUGCCAAGAAUGUUUUCAUUAAUCAAGAACGAAAGUUAGAGGUUCGAAGGCGAUUAGAUACCGCCCUAGUUCUAACCAUAAACGAUGCCAGCUAGCGAUCUGCCUGCGUUUUUACUGUAGACUGGGCAGGAAGCUUCCGGGAAACCAAAGCAUUUGGGUUCCAGGGGAAGUAUGGUUGCAAAGCUGAAACUUAAAGGAAUUGACGGAAGGGCACCACCAGGAGUGGAGCCUGUGGCUUAAUUUGACUCAACACGGGAA
Molecule: ribosomal RNA, 594 nt
Filed under: uncultured marine eukaryote
Lineage: Eukaryota
Description: SSU rRNA
Rfam family: Eukaryotic small subunit ribosomal RNA
Source: RNAcentral